RNAcentral lists this transfer RNA (78 nucleotides) under Alphaproteobacteria bacterium. RNAcentral's name for it is "tRNA-Lys". The record is from RNAcentral. Lineage: Bacteria; Pseudomonadati; Pseudomonadota; Alphaproteobacteria.
GGGCCGCUGGUGUUUAACGGCAGCAUUACCGGCUUUUAACCGGUCAGGUCCGGGUUCGAGUCCUCGGGCGACCCACCA